AGAUUGAACGCUGGCGGCAGGCCUAACACAUGCAUGUCGAGCGGCAGCACGGGUACUUGUACCUGGUGGCGAGCGGCGGACGGGUGAGUAAUGCCUAGGAAUCUGCCUGAUAGUGGGGGAUAACGCUCGGAAACGGACGCUAAUACCGCAUACGUCCUACGGGAGAAAGCAGGGGACCUUCGGGCCUUGCGCUAUCAGAUGAGCCUAGGUCGGAUUAGCUAGUUGGUGGGGUAAUGGCUCACCAAGGCGACGAUCCGUAACUGGUCUGAGAGGAUGAUCAGUCACACUGGAACUGAGACACGGUCCAGACUCCUACGGGAGGCAGCAGUGGGGAAUAUGGACAAUGGGCGAAAGCCUGAUCCAGCCAUGCCGCGUGGUGUGAAGAAGGUCUUCGGAUUGUAAAGUCACGUUUAAGUUGGGAGGUAAGGCAAGGUUAACCUAAUACGUAUUACUGGUUUUAGACGUUAACCGACAAGAAUAAGACACCGGACUACU
This 495-nucleotide ribosomal RNA is filed under the name uncultured soil bacterium. RNAcentral's name for it is "bacterial SSU rRNA". It matches the Rfam family "Bacterial small subunit ribosomal RNA", at positions 26 to 502 of the family's 1533-position model. The record is from RNAcentral.